Eurypyga helias (sunbittern) is the source of this 670-nucleotide long non-coding RNA. RefSeq lists it as uncharacterized. Lineage: Eukaryota; Metazoa; Chordata; Aves; Eurypygiformes; Eurypygidae. The record is from RefSeq and is a predicted model, not a curated record. The transcript has 2 exons.
AGUGACAGGUACGCACCAAGCUUACAUGAAUUGGGACACUUCACAAUCCCAACGGUCUGUGAUCCAGCAACCCUACAGUGGUUUAUUUUCGCCAAAGCACAGGAAGCAAGAGAGAAUCUGAAAAGAAAGGAGGAGAUGAUGGUUACAGAAAAAGAGCUAGUCGAUACUUCCACUGAAAAGUUUUCUUUGGAUCGGCUGUAUAAGGAACCCAGUGUUUCCAGCGCCCAGAUGAUAGAUUGUUGUAAGCGACUGCUAGAAGAAUCGCUGCCGUACCUACAAGGCAUGCACCUUUGCAUUUCACAUUUCUACUCCGUGCUGCAGGAUGGAGACCUGUGCAUACCUUGGAACUGGAAAAACUGAGGACAUAUCUGAUAAUCAGAUGAAUUGUUUAUUUUCUGUAAGAGGUUAUAAAUAUGAAUGGUUUUUAAGAGUAAAUUAUUUAAAUCUGUAUUUUGAUAUCAGUAUUCAACCCACAGAUUUUCUUCUAACUGCUGCUGAAGGAGGAUUGUAGUCCUAGACACUUCGCACAACGCGCAGUGUUGCCAGCCCUGGGACAGACACCCGUACAUUCUCCAUGCUGCCGUAGGAGUCCCGGUGCGUGGUAGCAGUUGUGAAACCGCGGUUUUGUAGUGAAUUAUGCAAAUCACAUUAAAUUGCAAGUCUGCAAAAA